GGCGGCGUGGAUAAGACAUGCAAGUCGAACGGGAUCAUCGGAGUAGCAAUACAACGGUGGUCUAGUGGCGAACGGGUGCGUAACACGUGGAUACAUUCCGGAAAGCGGGGGAUAGCCCAGGGAAACUUGGAUUAAUACCGCAUGUGGUUGAAAAACUAAAGGCAGGGACCGCAAGGCCUGCCACUUUCCGAUUGGUCCGCGGCCUAUCAGCUAGUUGGCGGGGUAAAAGCCCACCAAGGCUACGACGGGUAGCUGGUCUUAGAGGACGACCAGCCACACUGGAACUGAGACACGGUCCAGACACCUACGGGUGGCAGCAGUCGAGAAUCUUUCACAAUGGGGGCAACCCUGAUGGAGCGACGCCGCGUGGAGGAUAAGGUCUUCGGAUUGUAAACUCCUGUCAUGUGUGAACAAGGUUGCGAGGUUAAUAGUCUUGCAAAUUGAUGGUAACACAAGAGGAAGAGACGGCUAACUCUGUGCCAGCAGCCGCGGUAAUACAGAGGUCUCAAGCGUUGUUCGGAAUCACUGGGCGUAAAGGGUGCGUAGGUGGCGUGGUAAGUCAGAUGUGAAAGCCCGGGGCUCAACCUCGGAACAGCAUCCGAUACUACCAUGCUAGAGUACUGAAGAGGUGACUAGAAUUCUCGGUGUAGCAGUGAAAUGCGUAGAUAUCGAGAGGAACACCAACGGCGAAGGCAGGUCACUGGGCAGUUACUGACACUGAGGCACGAAGGCCAGGGGAGCAAACGGGAUUAGAUACCCCGGUAGUCCUGGCAGUAAACGGUGCACGUUUGGUGUGGGCGCAAUCGACCGCGUCCGCGCCGGAGCUAACGCGUUAAACGUGCCGCCUGGGAAGUACGGUCGCAAGAUUA
This 869-nucleotide ribosomal RNA is filed under the name uncultured bacterium. RNAcentral describes it as "bacterial SSU rRNA". It matches the Rfam family "Bacterial small subunit ribosomal RNA", at positions 38 to 896 of the family's 1533-position model. The record is from RNAcentral.